This 1215-nucleotide long non-coding RNA is filed under the name Equus caballus (horse). RNAcentral's name for it is "lncRNA (ENSECAG00000050881.1)". The record is from RNAcentral. Lineage: Eukaryota; Metazoa; Chordata; Mammalia; Perissodactyla; Equidae.
CCACAGAAUGGGAAAGAAGGACAUUUGGGAACUCCUAGUGACAUUCUCAGAGCCUCACAACAACCCUCUUCCCCUUGGGGUCCUUGGGCCUCCGGUGUGGUGCCCUGCAGACGCGUCUGGCUGGCUGUGGCGUGGGCUCUGGGGCUGCAGCGUGCACAGGCCACCGGGAGGCCCAGAGGAGGGAAGGGAGACAGGCCACCCGAAGGGAGCCGGCUUCUUGGGAAAUCUCUGCAUGCCCCUUCCUGUGCCCUGAGGGGAGAUUCGGCUCCUGUAUGUCACCGAUUCUGCAGCCCAGCAGAGGUGGGUGGCUGAGCCAGAGGCUGCGCCUGAUGAGGCUGAGAGCCUGAAGCUGUCCGUGGUCCAAGCCUGGGGAGCCUGGGGCCUUGGUUGUGUCCCCGGAUCGCCUGCCCGGGUCCCUUCGGGUCUGCUUCCAUUUCCCUUCUUGGCACUGCCUGAGCCAGAGGGAAAGAGGGAUUGUCACUGGAGAGAAGUGCUGCCUCUGAUGUCCUGGGGAGCCAGAGCUGGGGCUGGCCACCUUCUCACAGCGGCGGAACCGGCUGCUGGUCAGACUGAGGGGCAGCCAACACAGCCAGCUGAAGCCACCUUUGGACCACCUUCAUUUUGGGCCACAACUUCCUGACUUCGAAGGCCAGGCUGGAGCCCAAGAAGGCUUUGCAGCCCCCUGGGUGUGCUCAUUGUGUGAGCCAAGUGUUGUCUCUGGCGAUGAUGCCGACAGCCCGGCUCUCCUCGUGUUUCCGCUGCUGCGUGGAAUGUGAACCAGCUGAGCCGGACCAGCGCUGCCCCAGGGCAGGAGGCCAGGUGUGCUGUCUCUGGACGACAGGCAUGAGAAACAGCGACGCCUGAUGUCACCAGGGCCUGGGAACCACCCUGCCUGGGGGAUGCUGGCCCUCUCUGCUAAUGUGCUUGGGUCCUUAUUUCCUCUUUGAAUGUGUUUCUUGAAAAACAAACUCUUUGAGGUGAAAAAAGUUUAUGGUUUUUAGAACAAUGGUUUGAAAUAAAGCAAAUACUGGUAACAGGCUCUGCAGAUAGUUCUAUAAAGCUGUGAAAGAGCCACGAAUAGUUUAAUCACCCUGUACAAAGCAGCCACCUUCAGGAUUCAUUUCUUCAAGUGGUGUCAAUUCAAUUAAUCAUAAAAAAAUGAUUAAAAGAAUUUCAUACAACUUUGCUUUUAAAAUAAAAUCUUGGUAAACCAGC